CCGCAAAGCACGUAUUUGUUGCCGUAUUUACUGAGCUAGUGCCUUUGAAAAGAAAAAGAGANGACAACUUUUGACGGUGGAUCUCUUGGCUCGCGCAUCGAUGAAGAACGCAGCCAGCUGCGAUAAGUAGUGUGAAUUGCAGAAUUCAGUGAAUCAUCGAAUCUUUGAACGCAAAUGGCGCUCUUGGGUUCUCCCAGGAGCAUGUCUGUCUGAGUGUCGGAUUGUACNCCAUCGCGGUUGGACCGUUUCCACGGCAGCCGCGGCGUUGAGGCGACACGACGCGUUCCCAGGUUGGUCGUGUCUCUCGAAACCGAGCGUAGCCCCGUUGCCGCAGCGGUCGCGUCCGACUCUGUCCGCCAAAAAGGGGAGGCUUAAGGCUGACCUUUCCCUGGACGGAGGAGGUCCGACGUGGCGAGGGACGGAGGCCAACGAGAGAGAAAGAGAAAGAGAGCAAAGGCAGUGAAAAGGCAUCUUGACCUCAGAUCAGGCAAGG
This 493-nucleotide ribosomal RNA is filed under the name Ricordea florida. RNAcentral describes it as "eukaryotic LSU rRNA". The stretch from base 66 to 219 matches the Rfam family "5.8S ribosomal RNA". The record is from RNAcentral. Lineage: Eukaryota; Metazoa; Cnidaria; Anthozoa; Corallimorpharia; Ricordeidae.